RNAcentral lists this long non-coding RNA (289 nucleotides) under Musa acuminata (dwarf banana). RNAcentral's name for it is "long non-coding RNA (MACU_LNC009838)". The record is from RNAcentral. Lineage: Eukaryota; Viridiplantae; Streptophyta; Magnoliopsida; Zingiberales; Musaceae.
UGAUAGAGGUGAGAGUGCUUGUGUCUAAGGCGGUUCUUGACCUUGCUUGUAUAUGAGAAUGCCCCGUUCCAGUUUCAUCUAUAAGAGGAUUUCCUCUGUUCCGUUAGCGCAACAUUAUACCAUUAUACUACUAAGUAAGCUUGUUCGGUAAGAAAGCGUAGAGAGAAGCUCGUUGAGCGUAGAAAUCGGUAAUCAUAGAAAAGAGAGGUUAAGCUGUGAAAAAGUAAGCUUAUGAAUUGCUAGUUCCAGUUCUUGUUUCAGAAUCAGAAUAAGUUCGAUAAGAUGCUAC